GUGGGGAAUAUUGCACAAUGGGGGAAACCCUGAUGCAGCCAUGCCGCGUGUGUGAAGAAGGCCUUCGGGUUGUAAAGCACUUUCAGUAGGGAGGAAAGGGUGUAGUUUAAUACGCUAUAUCUGUGACGUUACCUACAGAAGAAGGACCGG
Molecule: ribosomal RNA, 150 nt
Filed under: Shewanella sp. FBT4-9
Lineage: Bacteria; Pseudomonadati; Pseudomonadota; Gammaproteobacteria; Alteromonadales; Shewanellaceae
Description: partial 16S ribosomal RNA
Rfam family: Bacterial small subunit ribosomal RNA
Source: RNAcentral